RNAcentral lists this ribosomal RNA (595 nucleotides) under Streptomyces sp. FXJ1.136. RNAcentral's name for it is "bacterial SSU rRNA". It matches the Rfam family "Bacterial small subunit ribosomal RNA", at positions 199 to 809 of the family's 1533-position model. Lineage: Bacteria; Bacillati; Actinomycetota; Actinomycetes; Kitasatosporales; Streptomycetaceae. The record is from RNAcentral.
UUGGAAAGCUCCGGCGGUGAAGGAUGAGCCCGCGGCCUAUCAGCUUGUUGGUGAGGUAAUGGCUCACCAAGGCGACGACGGGUAGCCGGCCUGAGAGGGCGACCGGCCACACUGGGACUGAGACACGGCCCAGACUCCUACGGGAGGCAGCAGUGGGGAAUAUUGCACAAUGGGCGAAAGCCUGAUGCAGCGACGCCGCGUGAGGGAUGACGGCCUUCGGGUUGUAAACCUCUUUCAGCAGGGAAGAAGCGCAAGUGACGGUACCUGCAGAAGAAGCGCCGGCUAACUACGUGCCAGCAGCCGCGGUAAUACGUAGGGCGCAAGCGUUGUCCGGAAUUAUUGGGCGUAAAGAGCUCGUAGGCGGCUUGUCACGUCGAUUGUGAAAGCCCGAGGCUUAACCUCGGGUCUGCAGUCGAUACGGGCUAGCUAGAGUGUGGUAGGGGAGAUCGGAAUUCCUGGUGUAGCGGUGAAAUGCGCAGAUAUCAGGAGGAACACCGGUGGCGAAGGCGGAUCUCUGGGCCAUUACUGACGCUGAGGAGCGAAAGCGUGGGGAGCGAACAGGAUUAGAUACCCUGGUAGUCCACGCCGUAAACGG